Molecule: unclassified non-coding RNA, 525 nt
Filed under: Hevea brasiliensis (rubber tree)
Lineage: Eukaryota; Viridiplantae; Streptophyta; Magnoliopsida; Malpighiales; Euphorbiaceae
Source: RNAcentral
AGGUGAACGACCAUUACCUUCAGCAAGGCUUGAAGAAAUUUUCUAUGUCCUUCAAGAACUAGCUCAUCUAAGAAUACAUCCAGAAACGGCAUCUGUUCUUCCUUUGCAUCCUAAUUUGAAAAGCGUCCUAGCAGACAAAGAGGAUCACAAAAAAUGUCCACAUCUGUUUGUUCUAUUUCCCACCUUCUGCGAUCUUGUAAUAACAAGGGAAGCUAGAGUGAGAGAGUUGGUGCAAGUGUUGCUGAGGCUCAUUACUAGGGAACUAUCGCUUGAAAAGGUUGGUAUUGCCAGUUGAUACAUGGAGGAAUGCAUUUUCACGAUAUUUGAAUCUAAAAUUGAAUUGGCGAGUGGUCAUUACUAGUUGACAGAUAUGGUAUAGGUGAGGAUUUUUUUUUUUUGGGUUUUCCUGCCCUCCACUAUUUGGUGUUGUAUCAUGUAGGUUUGUACAUUAUAGGAUUUUUGUUGUAUUUGAUGAGGCACCGACCAAGAGUUAACAUUUCAUGUAUCAGGAUGAUAGAGCUAGUU